Long non-coding RNA from Ooceraea biroi (clonal raider ant), 459 nucleotides. RefSeq lists it as uncharacterized. The record is from RefSeq and is a predicted model, not a curated record. NCBI's taxonomy places the organism in Eukaryota, Metazoa, Arthropoda, Insecta, Hymenoptera, Formicidae.
CCACCCUGUAUAUAUAUAUAUAUAUACAACGUGGAAACAUUGACGAAUUUAAAAAUUUCGAUCUUUCUUCGAGAUAUACCGCUAAAAGGUUUACAUUCAAAAAUAUAAUUGAUUUUACAAACGUCAUUACCAAUUAUUAUAACAAGUUGUUGCAAAAUUUGCUUAGUUAUAUUCAAAAAUAUUCAUAAAUUCAAGUAAAAAAGUGUUUAUCUCGCGAGAAAUGAUGAUCGAAAAGAUGUCAUAUCGAUGUCGAAUCGAUGUGAGGUUGUACUAGCCUCACUUUUGUGUCUCCGGCCGUACAUGUUGCUGCGUGUCUCUGGUCACAUCACUUUGAUCUAAGGAUCACUAUAAAGAAAGUUUAUAGCGCAACCUAAACUAUUUCUCAUUGCUGCAGAUAUUUAUAUACAUAUAUGUACUUUGAGUACGCAUACAGUAUUAAUAUACUGAUUGGAUGACUUA